AGUGAACGCUGGCGGUAGGCCUAACACAUGCAAGUCGAACGGCAGCACAGGAGAGCUUGCUCUCUGGGUGGCGAGUGGCGGACGGGUGAGGAAUACAUCGGAAUCUACUUUUUCGUGGGGGACAACGUAGGGAAACUUACGCUAAUACCGCAUACGACCUACGGGUGAAAGCAGGGGACCUUCGGGCCUUGCGCGAUUGAAUGAGCCGAUGUCGGAUUAGCUAGUUGGCGGGGUAAAGCCCACCAAGGCGACGAUCCGUAGCUGGUCUGAGAGGAUGAUCAGCCGCACUGGAACUGAGACAAGGUCCAGACUCCUACGGGAGGCAGCAGUGGGGAAUAUUGGACAAUGGGCGCAAGCCUGAUCCAGCCACACCGCGUGGGUGAAGAAGGCCUUCGGGUUGUAAAGCCCUUUUGUUGGGAAAGAAAUCCAGCUGGCUAAUACCCGGUUGGGAUGACGGUACCCAAAGAAUAAGCACCGGCUAACUUCGUGCCAGCCGCCGCCGUAA
Molecule: ribosomal RNA, 505 nt
Filed under: uncultured bacterium
Lineage: Bacteria
Description: partial 16S ribosomal RNA
Rfam family: Bacterial small subunit ribosomal RNA
Source: RNAcentral